GGGGAAGUAGCUCAGUGGUAGGGCACUUGCCUAGCAUGCAAGAGGUGUUGGGUUCAAUCCCAGCUCUUUA
Molecule: transfer RNA, 70 nt
Filed under: Marmota monax (woodchuck)
Lineage: Eukaryota; Metazoa; Chordata; Mammalia; Rodentia; Sciuridae
Rfam family: tRNA
About the family: Transfer RNA (tRNA) molecules are approximately 80 nucleotides in length. Their secondary structure includes four short double-helical elements and three loops (D, anti-codon, and T loops).
Source: Rfam by way of RNAcentral